RNAcentral lists this ribosomal RNA (301 nucleotides) under uncultured bacterium. RNAcentral describes it as "partial 16S ribosomal RNA". It matches the Rfam family "Bacterial small subunit ribosomal RNA", at positions 509 to 809 of the family's 1533-position model. The record is from RNAcentral.
CAGUCGCCACGGUAAUACGGAAGGUCCAGGCGUUAUCCGGAUUUAUUGGGUUUAAAGGGAGUGUAGGCGGUCUGUUAAGCGUGUUGUGAAAUUUAGGUGCUCAACAUUUAACUUGCAGCGCGAACUGGCGGACUUGAGUGCACGCAACGUAUGCGGAAUUCAUGGUGUAGCGGUGAAAUGCUUAGAUAUCAUGACGAACUCCGAUUGCGAAGGCAGCGUACGGGAGUGUUACUGACGCUUAAGCUCGAAGGUGCGGGUAUCGAACAGGAUUAGAUACCCGUGUAGUCCCUGUCUCUUAUAA